UACGGAGGUGGCGAGCGUUACUCGGAUUUACUGGGUGUAAAGGGUCCGCAGGCGGCCUUGUAAGUGAGAGGUGAAAUCUUCUAGCUCAACUAGAAAACUGCCUCUUAUACUGCUUGGCUCGAGGGUGUGAUAGGAGACUAGAACUGCACGUGUAAAGGUGAAAUUUGUGGAUAUGUGCAGGAAUGCCUAUGGUGAAGACAGGUCUCUGGUACACUCCUGACGCUCAGGGACGAAAGCAUGGGGAG
Molecule: ribosomal RNA, 245 nt
Filed under: uncultured bacterium
Lineage: Bacteria
Description: partial 16S ribosomal RNA
Rfam family: Bacterial small subunit ribosomal RNA
Source: RNAcentral